ACAUGAUACAGCAACAGCUCCCCGGUCUGUGACAGCUGCGCACAGAUGCAAGAGAUAAACUGCCCUUCUUAUGAUCAAAGAGGUAGAUUUGCUUGCUACUGCUAAUGAUGUGACUACAGGAGAUGACAGCGUUGAUAUAUAUGGACUGGAGUGAGAAUGUAGGUGCCUUUGUGAAGCGAGAAACAAGGUCAAUUUGGGGCUCUUUCUGCAGCAGCUGGAAGUUUGAACAGCACUUGCAACUCUGCACCCUAAGCAGACUGGAGGCUGGAGGAGGCUGUGGUCCAGGGGAGACUCUGUGGAGAGAGGAGGCCCUGCUCCCAGGCUGGAGCAGCCUGUCCUUGGAGGACUGCACCCCGUGGAAGAGUGACUACACUGCAGCAGUUUGGGAGGACUGUCUGCCCAUGGGAGGGACUCUCAGCAGUUUGGGAGGAAUGCUGCUCGUGGAUUGGAACCCUGCUGGGGAAGUUCACAGGGAGCUGUGUCCUGUGGGAGGGACCCCACGGCCUCACAUGGGAAGGAUUUCUCCCCCUGAGCAGCAGAAGAAAACCUGGGGUGAUGAACUGACCAAAACCCCCACGCCCUGUCUCCCUGCCCUGUCAGUGGGAAGGAGGGAGGGGUUGGGGGUAAAAGGUGCUCUUUAAAGGCUUCUUUUACUUCUCAUUGUCAUCUGAUUUUGUUAGCAAUAAACUCACUUUGUACCUCUAAGCUGAGCCUGUUUUGCCCUUGAAGCGUUUUCUCCUGGUCCUUAUCUCAAUUGAUGAACCCUUUGUUAAAUUUUUCUCUUUCCUCUGCCCAGCUGUUGCAGGCCAGGGUGAGCAAGCAGCUCUCUUGGGUGCCUGGCGUUCAGCCAGUGUCAAACCAUGAGAGGUGUUUAUGUCAGUCCUGUGGAUGUCUCUGAAUUCUGGAAGCUAUUAACUCUCUAUGUCAGGAAGGAGGAAGAGUCGUAGGAAACAACACUGGCCUA
Zonotrichia albicollis (white-throated sparrow) is the source of this 964-nucleotide non-coding RNA. NCBI's taxonomy places the organism in Eukaryota, Metazoa, Chordata, Aves, Passeriformes, Passerellidae. The record is from RefSeq and is a predicted model, not a curated record.